This 76-nucleotide transfer RNA is filed under the name Gordonia phthalatica. Its description in RNAcentral is "tRNA-Arg". It matches the Rfam family "tRNA". From Rfam's summary of the family: Transfer RNA (tRNA) molecules are approximately 80 nucleotides in length. Lineage: Bacteria; Bacillati; Actinomycetota; Actinomycetes; Mycobacteriales; Gordoniaceae. The record is from RNAcentral.
GCCCCCCUAGCUCAGGGGAUAGAGCGUCUGCCUCCGGAGCAGAAGGUCGUAGGUUCGAAUCCUACGGGGGGCACCG